Molecule: long non-coding RNA, 1191 nt
Organism: Larimichthys crocea (large yellow croaker)
Lineage: Eukaryota; Metazoa; Chordata; Actinopteri; Sciaenidae
Exons: 2
Source: RefSeq, a predicted model, not a curated record
UUAAAAACAAAAAAAGAACUAAUGCCGUUUGCCAAAUGGGGACACGUGUGACCCAAAAAGAAUACCUUACAGCUCAAUGAAGGGUAGACCUUUAUUAGCAUGAUCCGGUCUGCAAAAACAGGACAUGUAAGCCCUGAAAACUGCACUGCACACAGUAGAGAAGGGCUGAAAAAAUGAACAGGAGAGCAUGAGCUGGAAUGAUGUUAACUGUAAAUAAGUCAAAGAGGAGCCAGCAGACCCUGAGACACAUGAAAUCUGCCAUGUAACAAAGUUUGGGAAUUGGGAAUUUGAAGGCCUGGAGGCAUUUGUUAAGGGAGAGAUGGAGCCACGCUUAACUGGACACUGUGAGGAGACACCACAAGAUGAGGCAGUGGAAAGCAACACAAAUUUUGUCUCUGCAGGAGACUCUUCUUUUUUUCUCCCUUCUCCACACUACGCUGUCUCCUUUACAGAGUCUGGCUUCCUGCAGCAGCAUGUCAAGUAUCAUCACUGUGAUUAGCACUAUGGUAUAGUUAGACAAGUGUCCUCUAGAUAUCUGUCCUCAGUGCAGUGCUACUGUCCGGAUGUUGAUGGAGCUCACAGUUCAUAAGAAACAGGCACAUCCUUCUAAUCCAUCUAUGAAACUCCACACAUGCCCAGUUCGUGCACUCAGCUUUGAUUAUCUGAAUUACCUAAGAUCCGUGUCAGGGGUCAUUAUCUUUAAAGCAGCGAUUGCUCGGACUGUAAAAGAGUUUCCAUAGUCCUGUGCAAAGGGGCACUGCCAAUGUGUCGGCCAGAAAACCAAAAUGAGAUUUCUUAAUAUCUUAAAUAUGCAACACCAAAAUCCCAUGUAGAAGGUGUAAAUUGUCAGGAGUGUGGUAAAAAUAUUGAUAAACCUUACCGGCUCUUUGAAGCACAUGUUUCUAUCUGUAAAUAGUAUGGAAAGUCCUUUGCAGACAGCAGUACACUGUGUAAACAUAGGAACCCUUGCAGUCACAGCCAUAUCAUGAGUGUGAGAUGUGAAAGAGUAUUUCCAUUUUAAUGCUUACUGUUUACACAGCAUGAUACAGCAUGUAUGCAAAACUGUUCAUUUAGAUUAGUUGAAAAAUGCUUUUAUUCACUGUCAGUUAAAGCAAGUUUUAUAUCAUGAUACUUUGACCUUUUAGGUUUGGAAAAUUGUAUUCUGAAUUUUGCCAAUAAAUGAUAUUGAAU